UUGGAGGGCAAGUCUGGUGCCAGCAGCCGCGGUAAUUCCAGCUCCAAUAGCGUAUAUUAAAGUUGCUGCAGUUAAAAAGCUCGUAGUUGAAUUUCGGGACCAUCAUGUCGGUCGUGCCUCGGUACGUACUGGUAUUGUUGGUUUCUCCCUUCUGACGAACCAUGAUGUCAUUUAUUUGGUGUUGUGGGGAAUCAGGACUGUUACUUUGAAAAAAUUAGAGUGUUUAAAGCAGGCUCACGCUUGAAUACAUUAGCAUGGAAUAAUGAAAUAGGACGUUUGAUUCUAUUUUGUUGGUUUCUAGGAUCGACGUAAUGAUUAAUAGGGAUAGUUGGGGGCAUUAGUAUUCAACUGUCAGAGGUGAAAUUCUUGGUUUUAUUGAAGACUAACUACUGCGAAAGCAUUUGCCAAGGAUGUUUUCAUUAAUCAAGAACGAAAGUUAGGGGAUCGAAGACGAUCAGAUACCGUCGUAGUCUUAACCAUAAACUAUGCCGACUAGGGAUCGGAUGAUGUUAAUUUUUUAAUGACUCAUUCGGCGCCUUACGGGAAACCAAAGUGUUUGGGUUC
RNAcentral lists this ribosomal RNA (564 nucleotides) under uncultured Glomeromycotina. RNAcentral describes it as "SSU rRNA". It matches the Rfam family "Eukaryotic small subunit ribosomal RNA", at positions 548 to 1114 of the family's 1831-position model. The record is from RNAcentral. Lineage: Eukaryota; Fungi; Glomeromycota.